AAGUCGUAACAAGGUCUCCGUUGGUGAACCAGCGGAGGGAUCAUUACCGAGCUGUUCCCCCCCUCGCGGGGGGACUCCUCCCCAAACCCUUCUGUGAACCUUACCUGUACCGUUGCUUCGGCGGGAACCGCCCCAGGUUUAGCUGCGUGCCCUGGAACCAUGGCGCCCGCCGGGGACCCAAACCAAGAUUCUUUUUACCAUUUCUGUGGCGCAUCUUGCGAAAUGCAAAAUGAUACAAACAAAUCACAACUUUCAACAACGGAUCUCUUGGCUCUG
This 276-nucleotide unclassified non-coding RNA is filed under the name fungal sp. RNAcentral describes it as "partial internal transcribed spacer region". The stretch from base 1 to 46 matches the Rfam family "Eukaryotic small subunit ribosomal RNA", at positions 1786 to 1831 of the family's 1831-position model. The record is from RNAcentral. Lineage: Eukaryota; Fungi.